GAUGAAGAACGCAGCGAAAUGCGUUAAGUAGUGUGAAUUGCAGAAUUCAGUGAAUCAUCGAAUCUUUGAACGCACAUUGCGCCCCUUGGUAUUCCAUGGGGCAUGCCUGUUCGAGCGUCAUUUGUACCUUCAAGCUUUGCUUGGUGUUGGGUGUUUGUCUCGCCUUUGCGUGUAGACUCGCCUUAAAAUAAUUGGCAGCCGGCGUAUUGAUUUCGGAGCGCAGUACAUCUCGCUCUUUGCACUCAUAACGACAGCGUCCAAAAGUACAUUUUACACUCUUGACCUCGGAUCAGGUAGGGAUACCCGCUGAACUUAAGCAUAUCAAUAAGCGGAGGA
This 336-nucleotide unclassified non-coding RNA is filed under the name soil metagenome. RNAcentral describes it as "partial contains 5.8S ribosomal RNA, internal transcribed spacer 2, and large subunit ribosomal RNA". The stretch from base 1 to 120 matches the Rfam family "5.8S ribosomal RNA", at positions 35 to 154 of the family's 154-position model. The record is from RNAcentral.